GAGGAAUAUUGGUCAAUGGAGGCAACUCUGAACCAGCCAUGCCGCGUGCAGGAAGACGGUCCUAUGGAUUGUAAACUGCUUUUAUUUAGGAAUAAACCCCCGGUCGUGCACCGGGGCUGAAUGUACUAAAAGAAUAAGCACCGGCUAACUCCGUGCCAGCAGCCGCGGUAAUACGGAGGGUGCAAGCGUUAUCCGGAAUCAUUGGGUUUAAAGGGUCCGCAGGCGGGUAAAUAAGUCAGAGGUGAAAUCCGGCAGCUCAACUGUCGCACUGCCUUUGAUACUGUGUAUCUUGAAUUUUAGUGGAGUGGGCGGAAUAUGUCAUGUAGCGGUGAAAUGCUUAGAUAUGACGUGGAACACCGAUAGCGAAGGCAGCUCACUAACUAUGAAGUGACGCUCAUGGACGAAAGCGUGGGUAGCAAAC
Molecule: ribosomal RNA, 421 nt
Filed under: uncultured bacterium
Lineage: Bacteria
Description: bacterial SSU rRNA
Rfam family: Bacterial small subunit ribosomal RNA
Source: RNAcentral